UGCUUAACACAUGCAAGUCGAACGGUGACCUCGAGAGCUUGCUCUCGGGUGAUCAGUGGCGAACGGGUGAGUAACACGUGAGUACCCUGCCCCAGACUCUGGAAUAACCCCGGGAAACCGGAGCUAAUACCGGAUACGAGACGGAGAGGCAUCUCUACCGUCUGGAAAGUUUUUCGGUCUGGGAUGGACUCGCGGCCUAUCAGCUAGUUGGUGAGGUAACGGCUCACCAAGGCGACGACGGGUAGCCGGCCUGAGAGGGCGACCGGCCACACUGGGACUGAGACACGGCCCAGACUCCUACGGGAGGCAGCAGUGGGGAAUAUUGCACAAUGGGCGAAAGCCUGAUGCAGCGACGCCGCGUGAGGGAUGACGGCCUUCGGGUUGUAAACCUCUUUCAGCA
RNAcentral lists this ribosomal RNA (400 nucleotides) under bacterium Ellin5090. RNAcentral describes it as "bacterial SSU rRNA". It matches the Rfam family "Bacterial small subunit ribosomal RNA", at positions 45 to 441 of the family's 1533-position model. The record is from RNAcentral. Lineage: Bacteria; Bacillati; Actinomycetota; Actinomycetes; Micrococcales; Intrasporangiaceae.